AGGAUGAACGCUGGCGGCGUGCCUAAAACAUGCAAGUCAUACGGGCUACCUUCGGGUAGCCAGUGGCAAACGGGUGAGUAACACGUGGGAACGCGCCUUGGGGUGGGGAAUAACGCUGAGAAAUCAGUGCUAAUACCGCAUAUGGUCUAACGACUAAAGCAGCAAUGCGCCCCGAGAGCGGCCCGCGACCGAUUAGCUAGUUGGUGGGGUAAUGGCCUACCAAGGCGGUGAUCGGUAGCUGGUCUGAGAGGAUGGUCAGCCACACUGGGACUGCGAACGGCCCAGACUCCUAUGGGAGGCAGCAGUUAGGAAUUUUCGGCAAUGGACGAAAGUCUGACCGAGCGACGCCGCGUGGAGGAUGACGCCUUUCGGGGUGUAAACGUCCUUUCUGCGGGAAGAUAAUGACGGUACCGCAGGAAUAAGCACCGGCUAACUACGUGCCAGCAGCCGC
This 451-nucleotide ribosomal RNA is filed under the name uncultured bacterium. RNAcentral's name for it is "SSU rRNA". It matches the Rfam family "Bacterial small subunit ribosomal RNA", at positions 26 to 518 of the family's 1533-position model. The record is from RNAcentral.